This 465-nucleotide ribosomal RNA is filed under the name uncultured bacterium. Its description in RNAcentral is "partial 16S ribosomal RNA". It matches the Rfam family "Bacterial small subunit ribosomal RNA", at positions 338 to 795 of the family's 1533-position model. The record is from RNAcentral.
CCUACGGGAGACAGCAGUAGGGAAUCUUCCACAAUGGGCGCAAGCCUGAUGGAGCAACGCCGCGUGGGUGAAGAAGGUCUUCGGAUCGUAAAACCCUGUUGUUAGAGAAGAAAGUGCGUGAGAGUAACUGUUCACGUUUCGACGGUAUCUAACCAGAAAGCCACGGCUAACUACGUGCCAGCAGCCGCGGUAAUACGUAGGUGGCAAGCGUUAUCCGGAUUUAUUGGGCGUAAAGGGAACGCAGGCGGUUUUUUAAGUCUGAUGUGAAAGCCUUCGGCUUAACCGGAGUAGUGCAUUGGAAACUGGGAGACUUGAGUGCAGAAGAGGUGAGUGGAAUUCCAUGUGUAGCGGUGAAAUGCGUAGAUAUAUGGAAGAACACCAGUGGCGAAGGCGGCUCACUGGUCUGUAACUGACGCUGAGGUUCGAAAGCGUGGGUAGCAAACAGGAUUAGAUACCCUAGUAGUC